This 257-nucleotide non-coding RNA is filed under the name Levilactobacillus brevis. RNAcentral describes it as "Lactobacillus brevis T-box sequence". It matches the Rfam family "T-box leader". Rfam says of the family: Uncharged tRNA acts as the effector for transcription antitermination of genes in the T-box leader family. T-boxes are found upstream of many aminoacyl-tRNA synthetase genes and some amino acid biosynthetic genes usually in Gram-positive bacteria. The record is from RNAcentral. Lineage: Bacteria; Bacillati; Bacillota; Bacilli; Lactobacillales; Lactobacillaceae.
AAUUCAGCAACGAAAAGAUGAGUACAGGUAUUUCGAUUGUAAAGAGAGUCCCCCUUUGAUGAAACGGGAUCAAUUGAAAGCUUGGAAGAUGGUCUUUGAGCUUUGAUUGUGAGCCUUGAUAAUGAUCAGUUCAAGUGUAAGCAAUCAACGACAGCACUCGUUAACGUGCGGGCACUAUGUUUAAUUAAUGGUGUCCAUAAGAUUUUAACUGUAAGGCUAAAAUGAUAAAAGGUGGUACCACGCAAAGCGUCCUUUCC